RNAcentral lists this transfer RNA (87 nucleotides) under Escherichia coli. RNAcentral describes it as "tRNA-Leu". It matches the Rfam family "tRNA". Rfam says of the family: Transfer RNA (tRNA) molecules are approximately 80 nucleotides in length. Their secondary structure includes four short double-helical elements and three loops (D, anti-codon, and T loops). Further hydrogen bonds mediate the characteristic L-shaped molecular structure. tRNAs have two regions of fundamental functional importance: the anti-codon, which is responsible for specific mRNA codon recognition, and the 3' end, to which the tRNAs corresponding amino acid is attached (by aminoacyl-tRNA synthetases). tRNAs cope with the degeneracy of the genetic code in two manners: having more than one tRNA (with a specific anti-codon) for a particular amino acid; and 'wobble' base-pairing, i.e. permitting non-standard base-pairing at the 3rd anti-codon position. Lineage: Bacteria; Pseudomonadati; Pseudomonadota; Gammaproteobacteria; Enterobacterales; Enterobacteriaceae. The record is from RNAcentral. RNAcentral also lists the same sequence under 3 other names.
GCGAAGGUGGCGGAAUUGGUAGACGCGCUAGCUUCAGGUGUUAGUGUCCCUACGGACGUGGGGGUUCAAGUCCCCCCCCUCGCACCA